Molecule: non-coding RNA, 1343 nt
Organism: Gasterosteus aculeatus aculeatus (three-spined stickleback)
Lineage: Eukaryota; Metazoa; Chordata; Actinopteri; Perciformes; Gasterosteidae
Source: RefSeq, a predicted model, not a curated record
CGGAUGGUCGGGCCCCGGUCCGGAUUGCUCACCCAGCCAAAAGGACGCCGGGUCUGAUCCACCGAAAACGGCGUCGGGCAGGAUCCCGGACGGAGAGUCCGGGUGUCCGGGAGCCUCACCUUGCUGCGGAUGCUGUUGGAGAUGCGCGUUGCCCCCCAACAAAGGAUUCAUGCUAUGACAGGGACAUGGCUCCUUCUCCUCUUCCAGCUGGGGCAGUCUGAGACGCUGAUGCUCCCUUGAAGAGAAGAUUAAAAAGAAAACAGAAUAACUAUUUGCCCUUGGUGGAAAGAGCCCAUACUUCUUUUCAGAACAAACAGGUGCCAGUAUAGUGGACGCGUUCCUUACUGUCACAGCUUUCCUUCCUCCCCUGCAUUCGCCUUCUCUUCGCCUUCUCUUCUCCAAAAAGCAUCGCGUAGAUGUCAUUCCUGAACUCCCUGUUCAUGAUCUGGUAGAUCAACGGGUUGAUCAUGCAGUGGGACUUGGCAAACAAAACGGGGAUCAAGGUGACCACGGGGGGGAGGGAGGAGGACGGCUGGGGGCUCUUGCUCAGUGGUGCGGCCUCUCUGUCAAGGGUGGACCUGAACGUGGCGUCGCUCAGGCCUGUGACGGAAUUAAUGUUGUUCACACUGCUCCACUUUUCCUCGGGGCCGUAGUGGAUUUGUCUGUAAUAUUCGGCAGCGGUCCAGUUGAGCAGUGAGGGGAUGUCGAGGAUCUUCGGAGCCCUUGGAGAGCCCGGGGUCAUUUCAGUCGACUCCGCCACGACAGUCUGCAGAGAUGCCUCUUGAUCAUCUCUGGGAACGAGUGCGGAGAACAGAGACACGGCAGCGUAGGGCAUCCAGGCCAGGAGGAAGGUGGUGCACACCACAGCAGCUAUCUGAAAUCAACAAAAUGCCUUUUUUUUUUUCAUCCUGCAAUAUGUUCAUUUAUGAAUCUAAAAAAACCUCCUUGGUGGGGUUUACUUUUGUAAGUUUGAGUUCUUUGCCGGUGUGAGUGACAGAAGAGGACGGGAUGGACGCCAGAGUGCGUUUAGAUCUGUGGACCUGAAAACAGAAGCAACAGUUAAUGCUCCAAUUAUGACAACAAUUCACAAGCACUAACAAAGUCAACAUAACUCCCAUAUUUAUAUGUUAAAGCCAUUAUGUAACAAUGAUGUAAUAAUUUCUCAUUCCAAUUUUAGUUUAUUUUAAAUUGUUUGGGGCAUUUUGUCACUUCUUGCCUUGCAAAUCUAUUAACAUUUAUGUUAUUUAUGCUUCCAAGUCUGUGUGGUUCCUCGUCCUGAUUGGCCACUGUGUCUCUCUUGUUUGUCUAUUGAUGCCAUUAAAGUUGUUUCUGUGCACACUUUG